RNAcentral lists this ribosomal RNA (377 nucleotides) under uncultured bacterium. Its description in RNAcentral is "bacterial SSU rRNA". It matches the Rfam family "Bacterial small subunit ribosomal RNA", at positions 521 to 896 of the family's 1533-position model. The record is from RNAcentral.
UAAGACGAGCUCUCCAAACGUUAUUCGGUAUCACUGGGCUUAAAGAGUUCGUAGGCGGCUCCGUAGGUGAGGUGUGAAAGCCCUCGGCUCAACCGAGGAAUUGCGCUUCAAACCGUGGGGCUUGAGGGAGACAGGGGUAAGCGGAACAGAUGGUGGAGCGGUGAAAUGCGUUGAUAUCAUCUGGAACACCGGUGGCGAAAGCGGCUUACUGGGUCUCUUCUGACGCUGAGGAACGAAAGCUAGGGUAGCGAACGGGAUUAGAUACCCCGGUAGUCCUAGCCGUAAACGAUGAGCACUAGUCUGUGGGGACUUUCACAUCCUCUCGGACGUAGCGAAAGUGUUAAGUGCUCCGCCUGGGGAGUAUGGUCGCAAGGCUG